UGAGUAUCACGUAUGCAACCUGCCUGCCACAGCCGGAUAAUCGGGAGAAAUUCCGUCUAAUACGGCAUAAUGCAUCGACGGGACAUCCUGUUGGUGCCAAAGGUUAAUUCCGGUGGCGGAUGGGCAUGCGUCGCAUUAGUUAGUUGGCGGUGUAACGGACCACCAAGACGACGAUGCGUAGGGGUUCUGAGAGGAAGGUCCCCCACACUGGUACUGAGACACGGACCAGACUCCUACGGAAGGCAGCAG
This 249-nucleotide ribosomal RNA is filed under the name uncultured bacterium. Its description in RNAcentral is "partial 16S ribosomal RNA". It matches the Rfam family "Bacterial small subunit ribosomal RNA", at positions 107 to 354 of the family's 1533-position model. The record is from RNAcentral.